CCUACGGGCGGCAGCAGUGGGGAAUAUUGCGCAAUGGGCGAAAGCCUGACGCAGCGACGCCGCGUGAGGGAUGAAGGUCUUCGGAUCGUAAACCUCUGUCAGCAGGGAAGAACGGUCACUGUGUUAAUAAGCCGUGAAUUGACGGUACCUGCAAAGGAAGCACCGGCUAACUCCGUGCCAGCAGCCGCGGUAAUACGGAGGGUGCGAGCGUUAAUCGGAAUUACUGGGCGUAAAGCGCUCGUAGGCGGUAUGUCAAGUCAAGGGUGAAAUCCCCGCGCUCAACGUGGGAACUGCCUUUGAAACUGGCAAACUGGAGUGUGUGAGAGGAUAGUGGAAUGCCAGGUGUAGGAGUGAAAUCCGUAGAUAUCUGGAGGAACAUCAGUGGCGAAGGCGACGAUCUGGCACAUAACUGACGCUGAGGAGCGAAAGCGUGGGUAGCAAACAGGAUUAGAUACCCUGGUAGUC
RNAcentral lists this ribosomal RNA (465 nucleotides) under uncultured bacterium. Its description in RNAcentral is "partial 16S ribosomal RNA". It matches the Rfam family "Bacterial small subunit ribosomal RNA", at positions 338 to 795 of the family's 1533-position model. The record is from RNAcentral.